Non-coding RNA from Ornithorhynchus anatinus (platypus), 72 nucleotides. The record is from Rfam. Lineage: Eukaryota; Metazoa; Chordata; Mammalia; Monotremata; Ornithorhynchidae.
GGCAGCAUGGCCCAGUGUAAAGAGCAUGAGCCUGGGAGUCAGAGGACCUGGGUUCUAAUCCCAGCUCUGCCA